AACGCACAUUGCGCCCGCUAGUAUUCUGGCGGGCAUGCCUGUUCGAGCGUCAUUUCAACCAUCAAGCCCCCGGCUUGCGUUGGAGCCCUGCGGCUGCCGCAGGCUCCCAAAUACAGUGGCGGGCUCGUCGUCGUACCGAGUGCAGUAAACAUCCUCGCUCAGGGAACGCGUCGGGUUCUUGCCGUGAAACCCCCCCUAUAUCAAGGUUGACCUCGGAUCAGGUAGGAAUACCCGCUGAACUUAA
Molecule: unclassified non-coding RNA, 244 nt
Filed under: uncultured Lasiosphaeriaceae
Lineage: Eukaryota; Fungi; Ascomycota; Sordariomycetes; Sordariales; Lasiosphaeriaceae
Description: sequence contains ITS2
Source: RNAcentral